GACGAACGCUGGCGGCGUGCCUAAUACAUGCAAGUCGAACGCUGAAGGAGGAGCUUGCUCUUCUGGAUGAGUUGCGAACGGGUGAGUAACGCGUAGGUAACCUGCCUGGUAGCGGGGGAUAACUAUUGGAAACGAUAGCUAAUACCGCAUAAGAGUAGAUGUUGCAUGACAUUUGCUUAAAAGGUGCAAUUGCAUCACUACCAGAUGGACCUGCGUUGUAUUAGCUAGUUGGUGGGGUAACGGCUCACCAAGGCGACGAUACAUAGCCGACCUGAGAGGGUGAUCGGCCACACUGGGACUGAGACACGGCCCAGACUCCUACGGGAGGCAGCAGUAGGGAAUCUUAGGCAAGGGACGGAAGUCUGACCGAGCAACGCCGCGUGAGUGAAGAAGGGUUUCGGAUCGUAAAGCUCUGUUGUAAGAGAAGAACGAGUGUGAGAGUGGAAAGUUCACACUGUGACGGUAGCUUACCAGAAAGGGACGGCUAACUACGUG
This 495-nucleotide ribosomal RNA is filed under the name uncultured bacterium. Its description in RNAcentral is "partial 16S ribosomal RNA". It matches the Rfam family "Bacterial small subunit ribosomal RNA", at positions 28 to 507 of the family's 1533-position model. The record is from RNAcentral.